UUGAGCUGUAUGCAGGGAAACUUGCACGUACAGUUCUUAGGGGGCUAGGUGCGGGCAACCGCGCCUGGCUACCCGGC
This is a non-coding RNA of Burkholderia sp., 77 nucleotides long. NCBI's taxonomy places the organism in Bacteria, Pseudomonadati, Pseudomonadota, Betaproteobacteria, Burkholderiales, Burkholderiaceae. The record is from Rfam.